GUGUCAGCAGCCGCGGUAAUACGGAGGGUGCAAGCGUUAUUCGGAAUCAUUGGGCGUAAAGGGCGCGUAGGCGGUUUUUUAAGUCAGAUGUGAAAGCCCGGGGCUUAACCCCGGAAGUGCAUUUGAAACUGAAAGACUUGAGUAUGGGAGAGGGAAGUGGAAUUCCUGGUGUAGAGGUGAAAUUCGUAGAUAUCAGGAGGAACACCGGUGGCGAAGGCGACUUCCUGGACCAAUACUGACGCUGAGGCGCGAAGGCGUGGGUAGCAAACAGGAUUAGAUACCCUGGUAGUCCACGCAGUAAACGGUGAACACUAGGUGUAGCGGGUAUUGACCCCUGCUGUGCCGAAGUUAACGCAUUAAGUGUUCCGCCUGGGAAGUACGGUCGCAAGAUUAAA
RNAcentral lists this ribosomal RNA (395 nucleotides) under uncultured bacterium. RNAcentral describes it as "bacterial SSU rRNA". It matches the Rfam family "Bacterial small subunit ribosomal RNA", at positions 505 to 898 of the family's 1533-position model. The record is from RNAcentral.